CAAUAGCGUAUAUUUAAGUUGUUGCAGUUAAAAAGCUCGUAGUUGGAUUUCGGUUGAGAACGGCCGGUCCGCCGUUUGGUGUGCACUGGCUGGUUUCAACUUCCUGUAGAGGACGCGCUCUGGCUUCACGGCUGGACGCGGAGUCUACGCGGUUACUUUGAAAAAAUUAGAGUGUUCAAAGCGGGCUUACGCUUGAAUAUUUCAGCAUGGAAUAACACUAUAGGACUCCUGUCCUAUUUCGUUGGUCUCGGGACGGGAGUAAUGAUUAAGAGGAACAGUUGGGGGCAUUCGUAUUUCAUUGUCAGAGGUGAAAUUCUUGGAUUUAUGAAAGACGAACUUCUGCGAAAGCAUUUGCCAAGGAUGUUUUCAUUAA
RNAcentral lists this ribosomal RNA (373 nucleotides) under uncultured eukaryote. RNAcentral describes it as "partial 18S ribosomal RNA". It matches the Rfam family "Eukaryotic small subunit ribosomal RNA", at positions 592 to 976 of the family's 1831-position model. The record is from RNAcentral.